RNAcentral lists this ribosomal RNA (471 nucleotides) under uncultured bacterium. Its description in RNAcentral is "partial 16S ribosomal RNA". It matches the Rfam family "Bacterial small subunit ribosomal RNA", at positions 58 to 520 of the family's 1533-position model. The record is from RNAcentral.
CAAGUCGAAGCGGAUGAGAGAGCUUGCUCUCUGAUUCAGCGGCGGACGGGUGAGUAAUGCCUAGGAAUCUGCCUGGUAGUGGGGGACAACGUUUCGAAAGGAACGCUAAUACCGCAUACGUCCUACGGGAGAAAGCAGGGGACCUUCGGGCCUUGCGCUAUCAGAUGAGCCUAGGCGGGUUAUUUUGGGGGGGGGGGGUUCUCGCACCCCCCAAAGUCUAUUUUUAUGGCUGAAGGUGAAAGGAUGAUCAGUCACACUGGAACUGAGACACGGUCCAGACUCCUACGGGAGGCAGCAGUGGGGAAUUUUGGACAAUGGGCGCAAGCCUGAUCCAGCAAUGCCGCGUGCAGGAUGAAGGCCUUCGGGUUGUAAACUGCUUUUGUACGGAGCGAAACGGCUCUUUCUAAUAAAGAGAGCUAAUGACGGUACCGUAAGAAUAAGCACCGGCUAACUACGUGCCAGCAGCCGCGG